GACGAACGCUGGCGGCGUGCUUAACACAUGCAAGUCGAACGGAAAGGCCCUGCUUUUGUGGGGUGCUCGAGUGGCGAACGGGUGAGUAACACGUGAGUAACCUGCCCUUGACUUUGGGAUAACUUCAGGAAACUGGGGCUAAUACCGGAUAGGAGCUCCUGCUGCAUGGUGGGGGUUGGAAAGUUUCGGCGGUUGGGGAUGGACUCGCGGCUUAUCAGCUUGUUGGUGGGGUAGUGGCUUACCAAGGCUUUGACGGGUAGCCGGCCUGAGAGGGUGACCGGCCACAUUGGGACUGAGAUACGGCCCAGACUCCUACGGGAGGCAGCAGUGGGGAAUAUUGCACAAUGGGCGGAAGCCUGAUGCAGCGACGUCGCGUGCGGGAUGACGGCCUUCGGGUUGUAAACCGCUUUCGCCUGUGACGAAGCGUGAGUGACGGUAAUGGGUAAAGAAGCACCGGCUAACUACGUG
Molecule: ribosomal RNA, 468 nt
Filed under: uncultured bacterium
Lineage: Bacteria
Description: partial 16S ribosomal RNA
Rfam family: Bacterial small subunit ribosomal RNA
Source: RNAcentral